UCCCUGGUGGCUCAUAUGGUAAAGAAUCUGCCUGCAAUGCAGGAGACCUAGGUUUAAUCCCUAGGUUGGGAA
Transfer RNA from Ovis aries (sheep), 72 nucleotides. It matches the Rfam family "tRNA". From Rfam's summary of the family: Transfer RNA (tRNA) molecules are approximately 80 nucleotides in length. NCBI's taxonomy places the organism in Eukaryota, Metazoa, Chordata, Mammalia, Artiodactyla, Bovidae. The record is from Rfam.